CGCACCUUGCGCUCCUUGGUAUUCCGAGGAGCAUGCCUGUUUGAGUGUCAUUAAAUUAUCAACCUUUUUGGCUAUUUUCAUUAGCUGAUCAGGCUUGGAUGUGGGGGUUGCGGGCUUCUCAGAAGUCGGCUCUUCUUAAAUGCAUUAGUGAAACCUUUUGUUGAUUCUCGCUCUGGUGUGAUAGUUUAUCUACGCCAUUGCCAAGUCGGCGCCUUUUUAAAUGAAGGGGUUUUGCUCUCUAAAUGUCUCUAUGGGACAACUUCUUGACAUUUGACCUCAAAUCAGGUAGGACUACCCGCUGAACUUAA
RNAcentral lists this unclassified non-coding RNA (308 nucleotides) under Agaricales sp. RNAcentral's name for it is "partial contains 5.8S ribosomal RNA, internal transcribed spacer 2, and large subunit ribosomal RNA". The record is from RNAcentral. Lineage: Eukaryota; Fungi; Basidiomycota; Agaricomycetes; Agaricales.